This is a non-coding RNA of Drosophila virilis, 3025 nucleotides long. NCBI's taxonomy places the organism in Eukaryota, Metazoa, Arthropoda, Insecta, Diptera, Drosophilidae. The record is from RefSeq and is a predicted model, not a curated record.
UUUUUAUUUUUCGUUUACUUUUUUCUUUAUUAUCAGAUUUGACAAUGCCACGCGUUUUUCUCAUUUCAGCUGGCAACGUUUUUGACAGCUUUUUUUUUUAAAAAUUAAUCGGGAUGUUGCAUUAAUUGGCAAUAUAUCGCGCCGGUUUUUAGAGCUGGCAGCUCUAUCAAACAGUUUUUUCUCCAUUGCAAAAGACUAUUUAAAUUUGUUUUUGCCAAUGUUCGAUUCAACGAUUAGUUGGGAGGCUGCAUGCCUUUGCGGUAUAUGGCAACAAAAUGUCAGAUCUGGCAACUCCUUUACCAAAAAAUGCCUUGACGUUUCCUUUGAUUUUUUAAUUCAAUAAUUAUCGAAGAUGCUGACUAUUAUUUUUUUGAUUUAACAACAAGUAGCUGGACAAGGUUGAUUAUCUAGUUAUAAAUUGUUCCAGUCUGCAGAUCUGGCAAUGCAUUUUUAACUCGGCUGGCAACUCCUUUUGCGGCUCCUAUUUAUUUUUAUUUUGCCAAUUUAACCUCGGAUAUUGGAAUAGUUUUUGCAUGGUUUUGCCUUGGUGCCAAUGUCUGUGCUUUAAUUUUGUUUUUCUUUAAUUUUCAACUAAUUUAUAUCGAAUAUUUCGGGCACAUAUAUAUGCAUGUGUAUACGUACAUAAAUUGAACCCUGGCGUGAGCCUGCGACAGCUCCUGGAAUUCGCAUGCGUGCAGAGCCGCAGCAGGAAAUACAAAAUACAACAAAAAUAAAAAUAAAAUACAAUUGUAAUUAUGCGCGCGCCCAAAAAGUGGGCGUUGCACAGUAGUCCCUGGCUGCCAACGCCAUCAACCGAGCGCGACAGACGCAGACGCAGACGGACUGCGACUGGCGGCAGUGAAAGUCGGGCCAAGGUGUCCAGCGCCUGCCGCCAGCACCGUGGCGCAAGUUGCGGUCAAAGUUAGUUAAAGAUUAUGUAAGAGUUUAGCUAAAUGCAAUUGUUUUGCAGGAAUGGGAGCGUGAGCGGCAAGUAUGAGCAAGAUUAGAGAGAGAAAUCAAAGAAUUCCAUCCAUAAUGCUGGAAAAUUGGUGGAAAAACAAUUAUUUAUUUUACCAACCAAUCGGAUAUGGGCAUAAUUUUGAGAACAUCUUGGUUAAUUUGUGUAUUCAUAAUGUUCAGAUAGUUUUCAUUAUAAGUUGGCGAAAACGAUUUCACAAAUCCACCAGAAUACGUGAGAAAAUAGGUGGGAAAACUUGUGUGCACCACGAUGAUUGUGACAAGCCUUCACGUGAUAUCAUAACUUUGCGUAUUGCCAUAUAGAUCUAUAACAUUAAUGCACCACUGUGCGACCGUGUCGCAUGAUGAAUGUUCGUUCAGCUUGGACUUUGGGACAGUAUUUGGUGCUUUUCUCACGCUGUGUGUGUUUGAGGCGUCGUCUCGUAUGUUAAACUGUCGCUCGCAGCAACAACUGCAAUUAAACAAAUUGCGAGCCACUGGAAUAAGCCACAUCAGGCAGCAGCAGCAGCAGCAGUUGCAGAUGAAUUCCGAGCAAAAGUUCUUUAAGCGAAAAAGUAUUCAGAAUUAUUUAAUUGUUGGCGAAACGACUUAAUUAUUUUGGCAGCCGGCCCCAGAACGUAACUACAACUAACUGCAGGCGGCGUUCCAAGCAUUAUUAUAUAUAGCUGCCAGACAUGCCAGAGAGAUGGAUUUCAUGCAUAUAUUUAUAUAAUAUAUAUAUAUAUAUAAAUGUAUGUGUGCAUCGGAUUUCAGUUGGCAGCAUUCAGAUUUUCGCCUUGGGGCCUGCCUGGGCUCUUGGGCCACAAAUAAUUCUGACUUUUGCUGCAAGCUGAUGUUUAUCGCCUUCUGCGACUCGUGUCGACGGCUCAGGUUACACACACACACACACACACACACGCACACACACAUAGCACACACGCUCUUAUUUUGCAUGUCAACAAAUCCUAACAUAUCCUGGGCAGAAGCCGCCACAGCAGCCGCCCAAAGCCAACUCAUUGUGUGUGCGUGUUGCGUGUUUUUCCCAUUUCCCUGGAAAAAUUUCUCCAGCAUAAUAGGAAUUGUAUUUGAAAUUUUGCCGACAGCAGCAGCCGCAGCCGCAGCAGCAGCAGCACACACACAAAUCUCACGCCUAACAAGGCUCUUAAGCCGCAUUUAGUUGCGGCUAAGCCACAGGAUCUGCAGGACUCUCUCACUCUCGCUCGCUCGCUCGCUCGUGUCUCGCUCCUGCUCUUAAUCUAAGCGGCAAAUCUUUAAGAACAUUUUGCAUAAUUUGCGGCUGUCGUAAUACAAAUCCCAUUUGGCCCGCCACCAACACAACACAACACAACACACAGUAGCUCACAAUUAUGACAUUCGUGCAAGAUCAUGAUAAUGUUGUGUUCCUUGCGGCCAGAUCUUAACUCAUAAUAGCCAAAACCUGUAAGCAGCAUGUAAUACCCGCCGCGCAGUAAGGAAACCAAACGGAGAAUUAUUUCAUCUAGUUUCUGUUUUGAUUGUGUUCCUCCCUAAUGCAAUUGUCCCUUAGAUCGUCCAGAUCUUUCGAGAUGCAACUGAUGUCUUGGUCUUCUUCUGUUCAGCUCCUAUGCUGAUCUGAUCUUUUAUCAAACCAAUACUAGGAGCAAGACCCUUGAAGAUAAGCAGUUUAUAUGCAAAGCUUUUCAUCAGCUCCUAUUAUAGUUGGCUUCGGAGUUCGCUGGAUCUAAUCACUAUAUGAUAUAGUUGUCAUGGACUUGGCGUUUUACAAACAUCAAGACAUCAAGACAUGAAGGAAGCAGGAAGGUACAACAUCAAUAAAAUUGGCUACAGACUCUGGAUUUGAAAGACUUUGUCCCUAGGCCAAAGCUAUAACCACUUGGGAAUUAUAAGCCACAGAAAAAGAUGAUGAAGCUAAUGUUUACUCUCUGUUAACUAUGUUAAAUCCUAUUGUAACUCAUUAAAUAUUUGCAAAACAUGGAAAUUAUUUGUUUAAACAAGGUCCUUAUAUAUGAAAAAAAUCCCAUCAAUAAAGGACUGCUGUAUCAUAUAGUUGUAUCGUAAGAAUCGCUUU